This 552-nucleotide ribosomal RNA is filed under the name uncultured Acidobacteriota bacterium. RNAcentral's name for it is "bacterial SSU rRNA". It matches the Rfam family "Bacterial small subunit ribosomal RNA", at positions 355 to 897 of the family's 1533-position model. The record is from RNAcentral. Lineage: Bacteria; Pseudomonadati; Acidobacteriota.
UGGGGAAUUGUUCGCAAUGGGCGCAAGCCUGACGACGCAACGCCGCGUGGAGGAUGAAGACUUUCGGGUCGUAAACUCCUUUCGACCGAGAUGAAUUUCCCACGACCUAACACGUCGUGGGAGUGACAGUAUCGAGGGAAGAAGCCCCGGCUAACUCCGUGCCAGCAGCCGCGGUAAUACGGGGGGGGCAAGCGUUGUUCGGAAUUACUGGGCGUAAAGGGUUUGUAGGUGGCUUGUUAAGUCAGACGUGAAAUCCCUCAGCUUAACUGGGGAACUGCGUCUGAUACUGGCGAGCUUGAGUGCAGGAGAGGAACGCGGAAUUCCAGGUGUAGCGGUGAAAUGCGUAGAUAUCUGGAGGAACACCGGUGGCGAAGGCGGCGUUCUGGACUGCAACUGACACUGAUAAACGAAAGCCAGGGUAGCAAACGGGAUUAGAUACCCCGGUAGUCCUGGCCCUAAACGAUGAAUGCUUGGUGUGGCGGGUAUCGAUCCCUGCCGUGCCGAAGUUAACGCGAUAAGCAUUCCGCCUGGGGAGUACGGUCGCAAGGCUGA